AUGAGGAAGAUGUUAUAUGGUGAAGGAAGAGGUUAAAUUUAAGAAAACAGAUUUUUAAAUUUAGGGUGUUUCGUUGUGUUUGUUUUGUUUUGAGAGGUAAGGGCUUAAACAGGUUUUCUAGGCAACGUUUAUUUUUAGAUAUCUAUUAUUGAUUAAUGGGUGAAAAAUACUUCGAGAUAUAUAUAUAUUUCUAUCUUUGGUAACAAAGAAAUCAUUGUGGUAUAAAUCUUUCAUUGUCCUCAAAAAUAAAUUAAAAACACUACAUAUUACUUUUGACUAAUUUCUAUAUUUUUAUUUUCUUGUUAUUCAUAUAUUUUUACUAUGUUCUUCUCAUUAUAUUAUCAUAUCGUUUAUAAUCUAGGAUAUAUCCUCCUUCACAUAACAAUAUCAUUGAUUCAUCGUCAUAAAUUGAUAUUAUGAGUUAUGCAGAUGUGUAGACAUGCAUGCAAUGCUCUACACCAACAUUGUUUUAGCUAUACAGGUUGUCAACAAGUACUUCGCUCAAGGGCCAUGACAAACUCAAGAAAAACGGCCAAGUUCACCAAUUGAAAAAUAAAUAGUGUCUCCACAUCUAUAUGUCAUACAAAAAGAAUUGUAUCCGUCAAACUGAAUUAUUUUUUUCUCUCGGUAUAAGACUUUUAUCUCUAUAAAUGAAUUAAAAAGGAAGACUUCUACCGGAUAUUUUUGUAGGUAGUUUAGAACAUAUGAAAAAGCCAAUGAAAUGAUAAAUUUUAAUAGAAUUAAGCGGUCUCUUUCCAUAUAAUACAACGCGAAGCAUGGUUCAUGCCUUGUUGACCAUAAGUUACGAUUUAAAAUAUCAAUGUGGGUCAACAAGGAAUGGAGGCAUAAACUAGCCAGUGUUUAUCUAACAGGUAUAUGAAUCUUCUUUUGUUUUAGUAAGCAAAGGAGAUUGGCGAUUUUUCGGCGAUACGCGAACUAGGUUUCUCAACAUGACUUCGGCGCCGCCGCCAGACUCGGAGGGAACGGAUCCGGCUACGAAAGAGAAUCAGGAAGGCUUGUUACGAGAGAAGGGGGAGUUAUCACCGGUGGAGACACAGACAAUGAAGGAAAUCGCUCUGAAAGCUAUAUUGUGGGUUGGUGUAGCUCAGGAGAAGAAAGUUUUGAGAAAAAUACAACGUCGACAUUACGAAUCAGGAAGGUCAACUUAGCGUGGAAAUUCCGGAUGAAGUGGUCGUCAAUACGAACCCAAUGUGGGAGGAUUUUUUGGUAGGAAAUUUUUUGGAUACUGCGCCUCACGUCGCAAAGAUUCACGCCGUGGUUAACAAAAUCUGGAGAGAAGGGGGAAAGGGGCAGGCAGUAGAAGUCUAUGAAGUCGAUUCUACAACCAUGAAGUUUCGAGUCUCGGAUCCGUCUAUGAGAGCUAGAAUCUUAAGAAGGGGGAUGUGGAACAUCGGUAACAUACCUUUAGUGGUAACAAAGUGGACUCCGGAAGAGCUCAAGGAGAAGCCAGAGAUCCAAGCGAUUCCGAUGUGGGUCUACCUGAAAAAUGUUCCAAUGAACAUGUACUCAUGGGAAGGACUGAGCUUCAUCACAAGCGCAGUUGGACAUCCGGUGAAGAUCCACCCAGAAACUGCCUUCUGUUCAAACUUCAAACUCGCAAAAAUCUUUGUGAAUGCGAAUCUAACCAAGGAACUUCCAAAAAAGAUCAACUUUACGAAGAAUGGGAAAUCUACCACAGUUGAGUUCAUCUACCCUCGAUUGCCAGUUCGAUGUCUCACCUGUAACAAAUGGGGCCAUGUGGAGAAGGCAUGUGUUAUGAAUAAGAAAGAUGAAGCUCUCAGAUCGGUCACUGAGAUGAUAAAAGAGGGGUACUCAAGGGAGAAUGCUACAGAGGAACUAGCAAAUAAGGAGGGAAACAGUGUCAUAAGGAGAAGUGAAAUGUCAACACCAGAGAAAUCAAUUGUUGAGAAAGAAAUGGAGGUGAUCGAAGAAGGGGAAGUGGUGAAGGGCUGGUCUGAUGUAACACCUGGAAAAGCUAGAAAAAGUCCCAAACUGCUAGAAUACGGUCAGGUCAAAAUUGCAACGCGGUUCGAUGCCCUGUCAAAUGUUGAUGAUAAUGGGGACCUGGUAGAGAGGAUAGAAGAAGUAGAAGCUGUACCUGUAGGAGAAAAAAUGGAAGAUGAAACUGAGACACUAGGGGAGGACAAUCUCAUAACUCCAGCAAAAAACAACGAGCAGAGUCAGAAUGGAAACAACUCUACUACAGAGCAAGAAAAGCCAGAUGAGGUAGUUGGAGGGAAAAGCUUGCGACCUUCACUUUCGAGAGUCUCUAAAACAAAUCAUAAAGUCAUCCCUGAGUGCACUGCAAAAGAAACUGAGAACCCAGACACGCUGGGAAAAAGGUCUCGAAAACCUUCUCAAUGACAGGUUUCUUCUGGAAUGUGAGAGGAUUCAACAAAGCGUCUAAACACACUGUUGUACAUAACUAGAUAAGGAAUAAGGGGCUUCAGUUUGGAGCUAUUUUGGAGUCUAGAGUAAAGGAAAAUAAACUGGAGCAGAUUGUUUCUUCUGUCUUCCCGGGCUGGUCUUUUGUAAAUAACUACGAGCACAGCAGGAAAGGAAGAAUUUGGGUUAUUUGGAGUCCUCAAGUAAGGGUGACGCCAGUUUUUAAGUCAGAUCAGAUCAUCACCAUCUCAGUUCUUAUGUAGGGUGCUACUGAGGAGUUCUUUUGUUCCUUCGUUUAUGCUGAGAACACACCAGAGAGAAGGAAGGAACUUUGGGAGGAUAUAAAAACCCACCAGAAUUCCCCAUUGUUCAGGAAUAAAGAAUGGGUCAUCAUGGGAGAUUUUAACGAAAUCCUUGAGGGAGAUGAGCAUUCUAACUAUCAAGAUGCAGGUUUAUCCACUCCGGGAAUGAGGGAUUUUGAAGAUGUCAUUCAGCAUUGCAGCUUCACAGAUAUGGGGUUUCAGGGGCCGCAGUUUACGUGGUGUAAUAAGUGAGACGAGGGAAUCAUAUGCAAGAAGCUAGAUCGAAUUCUCGUUAAUGAAACAUGGUUGAACACUCGCACUCAAGCCUAUGGUGUUUUUGAAGCGGGGGGUUGUUCAGAUCAUCUUCGAGGAAGAUUCCACUUAGAAGUGGAGGCUAUGGGCAAAAGGAAACCCUUCAAGUUCUCAAACGCUCUUGCUGAUAUGCCAGAGCUCCUUGCAGUUGUUCAGGACUUCUGGAGAGACACUCAACUGCUGUUUGACUCUACCUCAGCGCUUUAUAGAUUUUCAAAGUCUCUUAAAGCUCUAAAGCCCCUGAUUCGAAACUUGAGUAAAACAAAACUGGGAGAGCUAACGCGAAAGGUUAAGGAAGCCUACCUGGACCUCUGUGAAAAACAGGAGAAAUUGUUUCGAGACCCAAUGUCAGACAAUGUCCAUGUGGAGAUGAUGGCAAAUGAAAGAUGGCAGAGAGUGUCAGCCAUUGAGGAAAAGGUUCUGAAGCAGCGAUCGAAGCUUCACUGGCUUCAAGUGGGAGACAAUAACAAUAAGGCUUUCCAUAAUGAUGCCAAGGCCAGAGAAGUCCGGAAUGGCAUCAGAGAAAUUUAAUGCCCUUCUGGAAGAGUGGUGACGUCACAAGAUGACAUUAAAACAGAGGCCGAGAGAUUUUUCAAAGAGUUUCUCAGUUCUGAACUGACUGAUCUCCAGAUUAGGACAGUUCCAGAACUGCAAGAAAUCGUUCCUUUCCGGUGCAGUAAUGAAGAGAGGUCCUCGCUUAUCAGGCCGGUAACAGAGGAGGAGAUCCGAGAAGUUAUCUUUCAUAUGCCGAGCAAUAAAUCUCCAGGCCCCGAAGGAUACUCAGUUGAGUUUUUCAAAGCCUCUUGGAGUGUAAUUGCAAAGGACUUCACCACCGCGGUACAAUCCUUCUUCAGUAAAGGGUUUCUUCCGAAGGGCCUGAACUCAACAAUUCUAGCUCUCAUACCCAAGAAGGAAUCUGCGACUGAGAUGAAGGACUAUAGACCGAUCUCCUGCUGCAAUGUCUUGUACAAGGUGAUCUCGAAGAUCAUAGCUAACAGGCUAAAAAGCACUCUUCCUCAAUGCAUCUCUCCAAACCAGUCAGCAUUCGUGAAGGAUAGGCUACUGGUGGAGAACCUACUCCUGGCAACUGAAAUUGUGAAAGACUAUCACAAGGGAGACAUCACGCCGAGAUGUACUCCAAAUAUCGAUAUUGCUAAAGCUUUCGACACAGUUCAUUGGAGUUUCCUCUUGAACACAUUGAGAGCACCAAACAUACCGGAGGAAUUUAUUCAUUGGAUUGAGAUUUGUGUCUGCACGGCCUCCUUCUCCGUGCAGAUCAACGGGGAGUUAGCCGAGUUUUUUCAGAGCAAGAGAGGUUUGAGGCAAGGGUGUGCUCUGUCUCCCUAUCUCUUUGUCAUCUGCAUGAAUGUUCUCUCUCACAUGAUUGAUAAAGAGGCUGAAAGGGGCUUGGUCGGCUAUCAUCCUCGGUGUAAGAACAUCCUUCUCACACGUUUGAGCUUUGCUGACGAUCUCAUGGUGUUUACGGACGGUACAAAAUGCUCCAUUGAAGGUAUACUUCGAGUAUUUGAUGACUUUGCAGCGAUAUCAGGUAUGAAGAUUAGUCUUGAGAAGUCUACACUCUACAUAGCGGGUACCACUCAAAAUGAAGAAGAAGACAUCCUAAGCACCUUCCCUCUGCCCUCGGGAAAGCUGCAUGUCCGCUAUCUGGGGCUCCCCCUCCUGACUAAACGUAUGACAGUUCAGGACUACCUCCCCGUGGUCGAGAGAAUCCGCAAAAGAAUGAAGUCAUGGACGGGCAGGUUCUUAUCACAAGGUGGUCGUUUACAGCUUAUCAAAUCAGUUAUCGCAAGCUUCACAAACUUCUGGAUGCAAAGCGUUUAGGCUCCCUAGCAACUGUCUGAAAGAAAUUGAGAGGUUUUGCUCGGCUUUCUUAUGGUCAGGACCUGAACUGAAAACAAGCAAAGCUAAAGUAAGCUGGAAAGAUGUCUGCCUACCGAAACAUGAAGGGGGGUUGGGGGCUCAGGCCGCUAAAAGAAGUAAAUGUGGUUCAUGGUUUGAAACUACUCUGGAGGAUUCACUCUGCGCAUAACUCGCUUUGGGUUCGAUGGGUGCAUUGCUAUCUGAUCAGGAAGGGGUCACUCUGGUCGAUAAAAGAAAAUACAACAUCUGUAUCAUGGGUUUGGCGAAAGCUACUAAAACUCCGUAAGCUUGCAAAGCAGUUCUUCAAAAGGGAAGUCAGAAAUGGGAAAGAAACAUCAUUCUGGUUUGAUGUGUGGUCACCACUUGGAUGUCUCAAGGACGUGUUGGGAGAACGAGGAUACAUUGCUAUGGGCUUCUCUGAAAACGCGGUGAUGGCUGAUGUUCUUGGUAAUCAUCGGAGAAGAAGACACAUGCUGAGUCUCCUAAAUGAGAUAGAAAAUGAGAUUGCACUUCUUCAAGCUGACUCCAGCCAAGAAGAAGACACACCUCUUUGGAAACAGAAAGAAGGGAAGUAUGCUAGUGUUUUUUCAUCAAAGAAAACCUGGCUACAUAUACGAUCUACACAACAAAUCUGCGAGUGGAGUAAGGGUAUUUGGUUCACGCAAUCCACACCAAAAUACUCGUUUCUUUUUUGGGUUGCUCUCCGCCAACGUCUGAAGACCUAUGACAGGAUACAACAAUGGAAUGGGGCAGUUGAUGCAACUUGCGUACUCUGCAAGGUAACAAAUGAAACUUGCCACCAUCUCUUCUUUAGUUGCGACUACUCAAAGCAGAUUUGGAAGGCCUUAGUAGGGCGGAUUCUUCAGAGAGCAUUUACUACAUCAUGGAAUGAGCUAAUAGAGAUCAUCUCGAGCGCAAGGAUGCCACCCACAGAGCAGUUUCUUAUUCGCUACGCUUUCCAAGCGACAGUUCAUGCGUUGUGGAGAGAGAGGAACGCUCGCAGACAUGGAGAGCAGCCACAGCCUGCAACUACCCUCACCAAGUUUGUAGAUAAAACCAUCAGGCUUAAGUUGCUAUCGGUGAAGGGGCUGGGACACAAAUACUUGGAAGAGAGUUUGAUCUCUUGGUUUGCUACUAGGGAGUAAUCACCAUGAGGAAUAUUUUUAGAGUAUAGAUUAUAUCUAUACAAAAUCAGAUGCACUAGAUGUACAAAGUUUUGACUGGAUAAAAAUUUUACAUUCUUUCAAAAAAAAAAGAAUCUUCCAAAACUAAGAGCAGCAUUAACCGGGUAUGUAAGAGGGUUUUUAGAAGGGGAGGGAACCACAAAAAUAGGGGGACCGAGGAAGAAGGGAGCCACAUGUAGCCAAAUAAGAAACGUAUGUAGUUGGGUUUUUCUGCUGUGCGCGGACCCCACUGACACGUGGCAGCCCGCGAUUGAUUCUUUUUUAAUUUUUUUUUUAAAUCGGCCAAAAGAAAAAAAAAAUUAGAAACCCAUUUGGAUAUUUGGGUUAAUGAUGCUCUAAGGUUGCAUACAUUGGGAUGACUUUCAGUACUCCACGCAGCUAGUAGACUUGGAGAUAGCCAACAUCCAAUAUUUUGAUUAAAACACACACUGAUGGUUAGGGAAAACUAGACUCCACGCAGGGGCGAAGGCAGGCUGAUAGAUGUGGGGGCAUGUGCACCCGUGCACCCCUAAUAAUUCAAGUUUGAUGCCUUAUUAUAUUUUUGUUAUAUCUUUUUAGCAUUUUUUUUUUUUGUAACUGGCUUCAUAUUAAAAUUGCAGAAGGAAUAAAAACGUUUUACAAAAGCACUAAUGCUCUAGUAGAAGUAGUCCAACAGCCCAUUAUAAACUCAUAUUUUAGAACCCUUAAACCUUAGAUAUUUGCCCAUUAGGAGGCCCAAACGAUUGAACCCUUUAGUAAGAUGGAGAUGGUGAGCCGACAGAUUUAUCGGGUAGAAGAAACAGAGAGAAAUGCAGAGAAACGAUCAAUGGUGGGAGGAGUCGAUGUGGAGCAUGUGAUAGAUCAACGAAACCAUAGUUGUAACAUCUCUGAAACCAUAGUUGUAACAUCUUUUUAGCAUUGGUGCACCCAUUACAUUUAUAUUCUAGCUUCGGCCCUGACUCCGCGUAGGAAAAUUUUUACUGAGCAGUGGAAGUUAUAGAUUCAGGAAUGCAUCGCUUGAAGGAAAUGGAUAAAAGACUUCUUUUAUAGCUAUAUAUCAAACAAAAACGUAUUUGUAUAAAAAAAAUUAAAGAUAUAAAAGUAGUAUAUGAGUAUGUAGAAAUAUAAAAUAAUGCAAGCAGCCCAAUGGUCUCCACUAUAUAAAAACAUACACAUAUUCUAUUUUGAAAAACCAUAUGAAUAGGUCACCAAUGGUUUCUUUAUUCACCAUUUUUUUAAAAAAAUUGUAUCUAUAUAAAUUAUAAAACAUGCUAUAGUGUUUUGUUUUCUUGGACAAUGGUCGGACAGCUAAGGGAAGAUCGCUCUCCUCAUCAGACCAAAAAAUUACAAGCGAGAGUGUGUGUAAUGACCCCAACCCCAAUGUAUCUCCAAAGGCCAACUUGUUUUUUUUUAAAAGAAAGAGAGAGAGAGAGAGAGAGAAAGAAAGAGAGAGAGAGAGAGAAGAGGAAGGGAGAAAGCUUACCUGAGUUGCCACCGCGCCUCGAGACCACGUUGAGCUCGUCACCACCGUCCGCUGCAGCUUAGAAUCGCCGGAAACCGCCAUGCAGUUAAGCUUAGUUUCGUCCGUUUAGUAAUUCGACAAUAACUUUCUAACCGUGAUGAAUCUCGUGAAUCCAAGACCACCAUCGUGUUCCUCUCGUCGAGACGAAGCCGUAGACACCAAGCACGCCUCAAACGGAGCCCGGACGAAGCCGCACGCGCCUCCUGAAGAUUCGCCUCGGCGCGCGCGUGAAACACACGCGCCUCCGCCGUUCGCCGGAGCCGCCGUGACCGACCACCGUCCGUUCGCCGCCGAGAAGCUGCCGCCGCGUCGCCGCCGUUAAUUUUUCCGAUUUGGAGUCCAUUUGAGCAGCUGGAGUUCAUAGAUACCACUUCUUAUUGCUAAGAGAUAUCAGCGGAGACGCAAGGAGUUGUGACGAUACAGAGAGCGUUUAACGCGACGGAAGAAGGAUUUGCUUCUCUCGUCUCUGAGCUGUGGAGUACGAUGCCUAAUUUGGCAACUGUUGGCACUUGCUGUUUGGUUGGUGUGAUAUAUCAAAGUACUCUUUUCGUGGCGAGUCUCGGAGAUUCGCGGGUUGUUUUAGGGAAGAAAGGGAGCUCUGGGGGACUCUCUGCUAUUCAGCUGUCGAGCGAGCACAAUGCUAACAAUGAGGAUAUUCUUUGGGAGCUCAAGGACUUGCAUCCUGAUGAUCCGCAGAUCGUUGUGUUUAAGCAUGGUGUUUGGAGAGUUAAAGGUUUCGAGAUCUAUAGGAGACAUGUACAUGAAAAGGCAAGAGUUUAACAGGGAACCAAUCGGUCAAAAGUUUAGAAUUGCGGAGCCAAUGAAGAGACCGUUGAUGUCUGCGACCCCCACCAUACUCUCUCAUCCCUUGCACCCUAAUGAUUUGUUUCUCAUUUUUGCUUCCGAUGGUCUUUGGGAGCAUU
Molecule: RNA transcript, 8509 nt
Organism: Brassica napus (rape)
Lineage: Eukaryota; Viridiplantae; Streptophyta; Magnoliopsida; Brassicales; Brassicaceae
Gene name: probable protein phosphatase 2C 42
Exons: 4
Source: RefSeq, a predicted model, not a curated record